Molecule: ribosomal RNA, 246 nt
Filed under: uncultured Gardnerella sp.
Lineage: Bacteria; Bacillati; Actinomycetota; Actinomycetes; Bifidobacteriales; Bifidobacteriaceae
Description: partial 16S ribosomal RNA
Rfam family: Bacterial small subunit ribosomal RNA
Source: RNAcentral
GAGUAAUGCGUGACCAACCUGCCCCAUGCUCCAGAAUAGCUCUUGGAAACGGGUGGUAAUGCUGGAUGCUCCAACUUGACGCAUGUCUUGUUGGGAAAGUGUUUAGUGGCAUGGGAUGGGGUCGCGUCCUAUCAGCUUGUAGGCGGGGUAAUGGCCCACCUAGGCUUCGACGGGUAGCCGGCCUGAGAGGGCGGACGGCCACAUUGGGACUGAGAUACGGCCCAGACUCCUACGGGAGGCAGCAGG